GCCGCAGAGGCGGCUGAAGGUGAGCUGAGUGUAUCCUAUCAUGCCUGACUGGGCGAGUUGUCCUGGGCCGAGGCCUCUGGGCUGGGGAUGAAAGAAACGGAUCCGAUGCAGAGUCUGGAGGGCUCCGGGGCCGAGAGGUCAGUCGGCACGCAGACGGGCAGCAUGACGGCACUUCCCUGGCGCCUUGCCUGCCCUGUGACUCACAGCGACUCCUGCCAGGCCGGGCUGCUCCCCGGUCUCCUUGCCAGACACACGUUCCGGACUGUGUUGUCCAGGCUUCAUCGGUCACGUCCUGCCCUGCACUGGCGAUUGCACCUAGAGUCAGUAUCCCGGAGCUGAAGAGCCUGGAAUUGCGCUUUUGCAAAUUCACCGCAAGUGAUGCCUCCCUCAAGUUUCGCCCUAUGGUUGAAGACCAAUCGUGUUCUAA
RNAcentral lists this long non-coding RNA (427 nucleotides) under Rattus norvegicus (Norway rat). RNAcentral describes it as "long non-coding RNA NONRATT010970". Lineage: Eukaryota; Metazoa; Chordata; Mammalia; Rodentia; Muridae. The record is from RNAcentral.